AGAGUUUGAUCCUGGCUCAGGACGAACGCUGGCGGCGUGCCUAAUACAUGCAAGUCGAACGAGAAUUGCUUACACCGAGUGCUUGCACUCACCGUAAGGAAUUCGAGUGGCGGACGGGUGAGUAACACGUGGGUAACCUGCCUAUCAGAGGGGGAUAACACUUGGAAACAGGUGCUAAUACCGCAUAACAUUGAAAAGCGCAUGCUUUUCAAUUAAAAGGCGCUUCUGGUGUCACUGGUAGAUGGACCCGCGGCGUAUUAGCUAGUUGGUGGGGUAACGGCCUACCAAGGCAAUGAUACGUAGCCGAGUUGAGAGACUGAUCGGCCACAAUGGGACUGAGACACGGCCCAUACUCCUACGGGAGGCAGCAGUAGGGAAUCUUCCACAAUGGGCGCAAGCCUGAUGGAGCAACGCCGCGUGCGUGAAGAAGGUCUUCGGAUCGUAAAGCGCUGUUGUUAGAGAAGAACACGGAUAAGAGUAACUGUUUAUGCGUUGACGGUAUCUAACCAGAAAGUCACGGCUAACUACGUGCCAGCAGCCGCGGUAAUACGUAGGUGGCAAGCGUUGUCCGGAUUUAUUGGGCGUAAAGGGAACGCAGGCUGUUUUUUAAGUCCGAUGUGAAAGCCUUCGGCUUAACCGAAGAAGUGCAUUGGAAACUGGGAGACUUGAGUGCAGAAGAGGAGAGUGGAACUCCAUGUGUAGCGGUGAAAUGCGUAGAUAUAUGGAAGAACACCAGUGGCGAAAGCGGCUCUCUGGUCUGUAACUGACGCUGAGGUUCGAAAGCAUGGGUAGCGAACAGGAUUAGAUACCCUGGUAGUCCAAGGGCGAAUUCG
RNAcentral lists this ribosomal RNA (833 nucleotides) under uncultured bacterium. Its description in RNAcentral is "bacterial SSU rRNA". It matches the Rfam family "Bacterial small subunit ribosomal RNA", at positions 8 to 809 of the family's 1533-position model. The record is from RNAcentral.